RNAcentral lists this transfer RNA (72 nucleotides) under Heliocybe sulcata. It matches the Rfam family "tRNA". Rfam says of the family: Transfer RNA (tRNA) molecules are approximately 80 nucleotides in length. Their secondary structure includes four short double-helical elements and three loops (D, anti-codon, and T loops). The record is from Rfam by way of RNAcentral. Lineage: Eukaryota; Fungi; Basidiomycota; Agaricomycetes; Gloeophyllales; Gloeophyllaceae.
GGCCGGAUAGCUUAGUGGUUAAAGCAUCCCUACCAGAAAUGGGUGACCCGGGUUCGAAUCCCGGUCUAGCCU